RNA transcript from Bombyx mori (domestic silkworm), 5630 nucleotides. It is a transcript of the gene named KH domain-containing, RNA-binding, signal transduction-associated protein 2, with no coding region annotated. The transcript is spliced from 13 exons. Lineage: Eukaryota; Metazoa; Arthropoda; Insecta; Lepidoptera; Bombycidae. The record is from RefSeq and is a predicted model, not a curated record.
UUAUUGCACGACGCGCGCUGCGGAAACACACGAAAUACGAACGUACCUACCGUGCGUUCAAAUUUGGAACGACCCACGAAAAUCAGACGUGUUUCCUGAUUCUAUUCAUGCGAUUUGAAUUAAGUGAAAAACGAUUCUCAACAGAAUCGUUCUGAGCGAUUUUAAUGCAAUCACAAAUUGUAGGCAUAGGUUUUUUUUUUUUUUUUUGAAAACUGUCGUGCGUGUUAUUACUUAAGUGACAAUAUUCUCGUAAUUUUUAAAAAUAUUUCAGAACUGAAUGAGUAAAAUUAUGAAAUGUGACUAGUGACGUGUUUAUAUUUUUAUAACAUUAUUGUGAUUAUUAAGUGCUUUUUAUAGUGCACUCAAUAGUAGUAAAUUAGUUUUCCUGUUGUGUAUCCACAUUUUGUUUCUACCAGUACUUCGUUAGUUACGGUAACCCUAAAGUGUCAGUGUCUGUGAGUGUGUAAUGUCAAAGUGACAAGUGACGUGAGUUGACGUGAUAGCCGCGUCAUGGAGCCGGUGCCUUUGCCCCUCGAGGACGAGGAGCGCCCGCCGCAGGGCUCCUCCACCGGCAGCGGUUCUUCAUCGGGAACCGGAUAUUACGGACAUAAAAAUGGUGUGACGACAAGGAGUGAAGAAAUAUUAGGUGAAUGGAGAGGCGAUAGGAGAAUGCUGGACAUCACGCGAGACAAGCCCGUCAAGGUCUGCGUGCGAGUCGUGGUUCCAGUGAGGGAUCACCCUAAAUUUAAUUUCGUGGGGAAACUUCUGGGGCCCAAAGGAAACUCGUUGAAGAGACUUCAGGAAGACACAAUGUGCAAGAUGGCGGUGUUGGGUAGAGGAUCAAUGAAAGACAGACAAAAGGAGGAGGAGCUUCGUGUCUCCGGAGAUCCGAAGUUCGCGCAUUUAUCAGACGAACUCCACGUCGAGAUCAGUGCGUUCGCGACACCAGCCGAAGCCCACGCCAGGAUCGCGUAUGCUUUGGCCGAGCUACGAAGGUUUUUGGUACCCGACUACAAUGACGAUAUACGACAAGAGCAAAUGCUGGAGAUGCAGAUCUUGUCCUCACAGAAUGACCAGAGGCAUCUCACUCCACCAAACUCUUCCAGGAGCGGCAGCGAGGAAACCCUGCCUCUGAGAGACACUGGCAACAAGCCUAGGCUGCCAACAGUUCAGCCGUCACCGGCUCCGACGGCCAUGCCCAGCGCCAUCGCAGUCAGCCACGCGCCCACCAGCCGCGACUUCUCCCCUCCAGCUCCCACACCGGCUCCUGAACAUCUGGCUGCUCAUCACCAGUUGGCAGCCGGGCACACUGGUCACGGGAUGCUGGUCGGCGGAGGCAUGAUACAGCAGCCCCCUCAUCAUUUGAUCACCCAAAACUCUAUACUCGGUACAGGCGACAUCCUGGGCUUGAGCAGUCCCGUGCUUGGUGGAGUGCUACACGCGCACCCAGCACUGCGUGGGGUGAAGCCUGCAGCAGUCCACGCUCUGGCGACGCAAGGUGCGGGUGGGUCGGCGGGUACCAGCACGGCACGCAAGCGUCCCCUGCUGGGCGGAGCGCGGGCCGCAAUGUCUCCGACUAAACGGGCCGUGAUGACCCUGCUCGCGAGGGCUAGGGCUGCCACGCACAAGCACGCAACCACAUGGCCUGCGCCACACGAGCACACGGCUUUACUACCAUUGAUAAGGGACGACUUCGUGGCUGGUGUUGGUGUCAACAUUAAUUUAGCGUAACUCAAUGUCUAGUCAAACUGUAACCCUAACUAAUGCAACAUUAGAUCUUUUUUGCAAUGAAUGUCUCGGAGAUAUUUUCCAAUUGUUAUUUUUGAAGCGAAAAUUAUGUUUGACCAAUUGACCUAUAGGAAAGGAGUGUUUCAAUCGGCAAGGACUCUGACAUCCCUUAGUUUAGCUAAAGGGUGAUGUCGUGGCCUGCAACCUCUUUGACAGGACAUAAGACCUACAACGACUAGAGAUAGACACAGACUAAGACAGAGAUGUGAAAAGAAUUCGAAAAGAAAUGGAACUAGGGCGUACGUGACCGGCGGCACGGCAGCACAUUAUUUGACGUCCUUAAAGAAAGACACAAAAAGACGAAAAAGAACGAAUUGACCGUUCUAAUAUAAGACGGCAAUAGAACAAACGACCGUUCAACUGACCUUCGACCGUUCAACGGACCUUCGACCGUUCAACGGACCUUCAACCGUUCAAGUGAUCCUUCGACCGUUCAAGUUUUUUAUUUAUUUAUUUUUUAUUGCUUACAUGUGUGGACGAGCUCACAGCCCACCUGGUGUUAAGUGGUUACUGGAGCCUAUGGACAUCUACAACGUAAAUGCGCCACCCACCUUGAGACAUAAGUUCUAAGAUCUCAGUAUAGUUACAACGGCUGCCCUACCCUUCAAACCGAAACGCAUUACUGCUUCACGGCAGAAAUAGGCAGGGCGGUGGUACCCACCCGCGCGGACUCAUAAGAGGUCACUUCAAUCGGCAAGGUCUGACAUCCCUUAGUUUAGCUAAAGGGUAAGUUGUGGGUAGGUACUAUAGCAGCAUCUUUCAGUGGCCAUUUUUCAACCCCCAAAACUGUCGCAUUGAUCGAUCGAUUAUAUUAAAAGUUAAUUUAUCGCCUAGCAAUUUGAUGUUUUAUCAGAAUGGGUGUUUCGAAGUUUUUUUUUUUUUAAUAUAAAUAAUUGUAACCAGACUAGUUUAUUGUCUAUCCGAUGUUUAAUGCUGUGGAAGACGUGAAUUUCACCGGCCACUUUAAGACAUGACAGCUUAAUGGUGUUGUAGGGAUUACAUAUGUUCCCAUAUUAUCUGCUUUCGCCUAUAUGUCAUUUUACGGUUCGUAUUACUCGUUUGGUUUAUCAUUAAAGACAUUCAUUGUAAAAAAGAUAUUUUUCUAUCUAGUCAAAACAAAAAAAUAUGUACAUCGAUUUUUUUUGUGUAAAUUGUAAUGAAUAAAUUAGCUAAAUUGUCAUCAAUUAUUGCUGAUAGUUUUAUUUUCAUGUCUUAGAUUUUAUUAUGUAGAUUAUGUUUUGUAUGUAUGUAUGUAUUACGAUGUUUUGUUAGUAUUGAGAACUGAGUGUUAAAUUUUGCCUCCAGCUGACGCCCUACAUAAAAAAUAAACAAAUUAAUGUUGUAAUCAUAUUAUGUAACAAAAUAAACAAUAAUAAACAUCACAUGGAGAUCAUAUUAUAUAAUUACAUCAUCUCUUUUUUUUCAAAAUUACAAGUACUUAAUCUAACUUAAAAUUUUAGUACAUUCAAAUCCAAACCUGAAAGUUUAAAAUUAUUAUAGUAAUUAUCCAGUAAAUUAAACCAUUUAUUACUGAAAUAUUACGCAUGCACUUCAUUUGUAAAAAUGCUCAUUAAAAUCGAUUUAAAAUUAAUUAACAUAACGCUGAGUUUGGUUUGAAUGUUUACUUACUCUAUAACACCAAAUUUUAGCGUAACGUGUAAUCAAAUCUUGUGUGUGUUAACUGUGAUUACUUAUUACAAUUUGCGCAAAAUUACGUAUUAUAUUAAGAAACGCAUUACUAAUUAGUACCUGUUUUGUUUAAAAUCCUUAUAGUAAGUAAUUUUAAGUAUGUAGAUAAUGUAAUUUCUUUUGUCUACAAAAUAUAGGCAUUCAUUUUAAUUGAAAUUGAUGUAAUAAAAAUAAAAAUAAAAUCAAAAAAUAUGUAGGUAGUCAUUUGAAAAUAUAUUUUAUAGUGUUUAUUUGUCGAAGUUUUUUUUUUUGUAUAUCCACCGUCUGGGGCGAUCUCACACGUGCGUAAAGACCAAGAGUUGAGAAGCUAAAAAUUUUUUUGGGACAAACCGUUAUUUAUUUUCAAAAAACGAAUACAUAUUUGCUCCGUUUCAAAUUAAAAUGAAAUUAUAAAAUAAAAUUUGUUUUAAAUAAUACAAUACAAUUUCUAAAUCGUAAUUGCAAAUAAAUAAUAUAAAGCAAACUGUCGAAGUUCUUCCCUCACGUAGAUAUUUCCAUAAAUUAAUUAAUUAAAUUUAGAUGUCUGUGUAUUUUGUUUUAUUCUAAAAUUAAAAAUUACAAAAAGAAUUGCAAUAUAAUUGUAAUAUGUACUAAUUUCAAAUGAAAUUUAAAAAAAACAACGAUAUUAAACUUAAAGGUUUUUCAUUUAUUAUGGAAUUUGUUCAUUGGUCUCAGCAAAGUUUAAUAAUUACUGGUGGCAGGACGUCUUGUGAGUCCGCCCUGGUAAGUACUACCACCCUGUCUAUUUCUGCCGUGAAGCAGUAAUGCCUUUCGGUUGAAGGGUGGGGCAGCCGUUGUAACUACACUGAGACCUUAAAACUUAUAUCUCAAGGUAGGUGACGGCAUUUGCGUUCUAGAUGUCUAUGGGCUCCGGUAGCCACUUAACAUCAGAUGGGCCAUGAGCUCGUCCACCCAGCUAUGCAAUAAAAAAAUAAAAUUAAAAAAUACACAAUCACUUUACCGCGAGACUCCACAAGUCAUCAAAUACUACAUAUUAUGUUAAUACAAUAUGUUUUUCUUUUUUUUUUACCGUCGCCCAUGGACUUCAGCAAUGCCAGGGGCACAGCCAAGCCGCUGCCUACCGAAACUUCAUUAAGACAGAGAAAACAUUGUCCAUGUCGGUCGGUCGUGUGAGAGAGCCUUAAGAUGUAAUUGGACCAUGGUGUUACUAUCCUAUGCCUUUUUAGGGAAGAUAUAUAUAUAUAAUAUUAAUAUGUAUAAUUAAUAAAUAGGAAAUAUCUAUUAUAUAAUAAUAAAAUCUAGUAUCUGAUAAUUUUAGUGUAUGAUAAUUCAUACACAAUACUCGACACGUCUAAACGAUAUAGAAAAUUCGAAUCCUAAUGUUUUUUUGUUUAAAAUAUAUAUUAAAAAAAAACAUUAAAAUUUAUAGGUACCCGGUAAUUGAUAAAUUUACUUCGUUUUAAAUUUUUUCGUAUCGGGAAUUACUUGUGUUUUAAAAGUAAAACAGCUUAAAUUCCCUGUCGUAUAUUUAAAAUAGUUUACAAUAAUUAAAUGUAUCAACAAAUUCAUUAGAACAAUAUACCUAUAGACGCUUAUAUUUAUGGAGAAAAAAAAAAACACUCACUGUAUCAAUCCUAAACAGUUAUUGCACUUUUUAUAGAGUAUAACAUGAAAUGUAUUAUUAAAUAUCAAUCAGAAGUGUAACAUUCAAAACGAAUUAACCAGUUAAAUGGCCAUUGCGCAUGGAUAACGCCCAUGCCAGUAAUCAUGCUACCAAAGGAUCAAAGGAAUGACUUUAUCAACGCCAUAUCAGAUUAAAAGCGCUUGUCUAGUAGUGAAAACUAAUUAAAAUACAAGAAGCAAAAAACCUGUUGUCUGAUUAAAUAUCCUUGUUUUAUCUCGCCUACGUUUUUAAUCGUUUUGAAUGGCUACACCUUACAACCGUAACCCGGAUAAUUAAUUAAUUAAUUAAAUUUUAAUCACAAGCAAAAUAAAAUAAAAUAGCUAUAAAUUUAUUAAAUAUUAACAUUUUUAAAAUUAACUCUUUAAAUUUUAGAACUAAAUAAGAAACUUUCUAAAUGUUAAAAAAAAACUUUAAUAUACAUAAUAUAUUAUGUAAAUCGAAAUAAAUGUCUGUAUGUGUAUUCUAAUCGUGAAAGAAAUACAAUAAAUACACAAGUUAAUAUGAAAAA